Molecule: ribosomal RNA, 432 nt
Filed under: uncultured bacterium
Lineage: Bacteria
Description: partial 16S ribosomal RNA
Rfam family: Bacterial small subunit ribosomal RNA
Source: RNAcentral
ACGAACGCUGGCGGCAUGCCUAACACAUGCAAGUCGAACGAGACCUUCGGGUCUAGUGGCGCACGGGUGCGUAACGCGUGGGAACCUGCCCUUAGGUUCGGAAUAACUCCCCGAAAGGGGUGCUAAUACCGGAUAAUGUCUUCGGACCAAAGAUUUAUCGCCUUUGGAUGGGCCCGCGUUGGAUUAGCUAGUUGGUAGGGUAAAAGCCUACCAAGGCGACGAUCCAUAGCUGGUCUGAGAGGAUGAUCAGCCACACUGGGACUGAGACACGGCCCAGACUCCUACGGGAGGCAGCAGUGGGGAAUAUUGGACAAUGGGCGAAAGACUGAUCCAGCAAUGCCGCGUGAGUGAUGAAGGCCUUAGGGUUGUAAAGCUCUUUUACCCGGGAAGAUAAUGACAGUACCGGGAGAAUAAGCUCCGGCUAACUCCGUG